CCCCGGUAAACGGCGGCCGUAACUAUAACGGUCCUAAGGUAGCGAAAUUCCUUGUCGGGUAAGUUCCGACCUGCACGAAUGGCGUAAUGAUGGCCAGGCUGUCUCCACCCGAGACUCAGUGAAAUUGAACUCGCUGUGAAGAUGCAGUGUACCCGCGGCAAGACGGAAAGACCCCGUGAACCUUUACUAUAGCUUGACACUGAACAUUGAGCCUUGAUGUGUAGGAUAGGUGGGAGGCUUUGAAGUGUGGACGCCAGUCUGCAUGGAGCCGACCUUGAAAUACCACCCUUUAAUGUUUGAUGUUCUAACGUGGACCCGUAAUCCGGGUUGCGGACAGUGUCUGGUGGGUAGUUUGACUGGGGCGGUCUCCUCCUAAAGAGUAACGGAGGAGCACGAAGGUUGGCUAAUCCUGGUCGGACAUCAGGAGGUUAGUGCAAUGGCAUAAGCCAGCUUGACUGCGAGCGUGACGGCGCGAGCAGGUGCGAAAGCAGGUCAUAGUGAUCCGGUGGUUCUGAAUGGAAGGGCCAUCGCUCAACGGAUAAAAGGUACUCCGGGGAUAACAGGCUGAUACCGCCCAAGAGUUCAUAUCGACGGCGGUGUUUGGCACCUCGAUGUCGGCUCAUCACAUCCUGGGGCUGAAGUAGGUCCCAAGGGUAUGGCUGUUCGCCAUUUAAAGUGGUACGCGAGCUGGGUUUAGAACGUCGUGAGACAGUUCGGUCCCUAUCUGCCGUGGGCGCUGGAGAACUGAGGGGGGCUGCUCCUAGUACGAGAGGACCGGAGUGGACGCAUCACUGGUGUUCGGGUUGUCAUGCCAAUGGCACUGCCCGGUAGCUAAAUGCGGAAGAGAUAAGUGCUGAAAGCAUCUAAGCACGAAACUUGCC
RNAcentral lists this ribosomal RNA (881 nucleotides) under Escherichia coli. RNAcentral describes it as "partial 23S ribosomal RNA". It matches the Rfam family "Bacterial large subunit ribosomal RNA", at positions 1918 to 2798 of the family's 2925-position model. RNAcentral also lists the same sequence under 2 other names. Lineage: Bacteria; Pseudomonadati; Pseudomonadota; Gammaproteobacteria; Enterobacterales; Enterobacteriaceae. The record is from RNAcentral.